RNAcentral lists this ribosomal RNA (1284 nucleotides) under uncultured bacterium. RNAcentral's name for it is "bacterial SSU rRNA". It matches the Rfam family "Bacterial small subunit ribosomal RNA", at positions 129 to 1399 of the family's 1533-position model. The record is from RNAcentral.
CCCAAAAGAGGGGGAUAACACUUGGAAACAGGUGCUAAUACCGCAUAACCAUGGUUACCGCAUGGUAACUAUGUAAAAGGUGGCUAUGCUACCGCUUUUGGAUGGGCCCGCGGCGCAUUAGCUAGUUGGUGAGGUAAAGGCUUACCAAGGCAAUGAUGCGUAGCCGAACUGAGAGGUUGAUCGGCCACAUUGGGACUGAGACACGGCCCAAACUCCUACGGGAGGCAGCAGUAGGGAAUCUUCCACAAUGGGCGAAAGCCUGAUGGAGCAACGCCGCGUGGGUGAAGAAGGUCUUCGGAUCGUAAAACCCUGUUGUUAGAGAAGAAAGUGCGUGAGAGUAACUGUUCACGUUUCGACGGUAUCUAACCAGAAAGCCACGGCUAACUACGUGCCAGCAGCCGCGGUAAUACGUAGGUGGCAAGCGUUAUCCGGAUUUAUUGGGCGUAAAGGGAACGCAGGCGGUCUUUUAAGUCUGAUGUGAAAGCCUUCGGCUUAACCGGAGUAGUGCAUUGGAAACUGGGAGACUUGAGUGCAGAAGAGGAGAGUGGAACUCCAUGUGUAGCGGUGAAAUGCGUAGAUAUAUGGAAGAACACCAGUGGCGAAAGCGGCUCUCUGGUCUGUAACUGACGCUGAGGUUCGAAAGCGUGGGUAGCAAACAGGAUUAGAUACCCUGGUAGUCCACGCCGUAAACGAUGAAUGCUAAGUGUUGGAGGGUUUCCGCCCUUCAGUGCGCAAGCUAACGCAAUAAGCAUUCCGCCUGGGGGAAGUACGACCGCAAGGUAGAAACUCAAAGGAAUUGACGGGGGCCCGCACAAGCGGUGGAGCAUGUGGUUUAAUUCGAAGCAACGCGAAGAACCUUACCAGGUCUUGACAUCUUCUGACAAUCCUAGAGAUAGGACUUUCCCUUCGGGGACAGAAUGACAGGUGGUGCAUGGUUGUCGUCAGCUCGUGUCGUGAGAUGUUGGGUUAAGUCCCGCAACGAGCGCAACCCUUAUUGUUAGUUGCCAGCAUUAAGUUGGGCACUCUAGCAAGACUGCCGGUGACAAACCGGAGGAAGGUGGGGAUGACGUCAAAUCAUCAUGCCCCUUAUGACCUGGGCUACACACGUGCUACAAUGGACGGUACAACGAGAAGCGAACCUGCGAAGGCAAGCGGAUCUCUUAAAGCCGUUCUCAGUUCGGACUGUAGGCUGCAACUCGCCUACACGAAGCUGGAAUCGCUAGUAAUCGCGGAUCAGCACGCCGCGGUGAAUACAAUCCCGGGCCUUGUACUCACCGCCCGUCA